This 466-nucleotide ribosomal RNA is filed under the name uncultured bacterium. Its description in RNAcentral is "partial 16S ribosomal RNA". It matches the Rfam family "Bacterial small subunit ribosomal RNA", at positions 28 to 507 of the family's 1533-position model. The record is from RNAcentral.
GAUGAACGCUGGCGGCGUGCUUAACACAUGCAAGUCGAACGGAAAGGCUCCUGCUUGCAGGGGUACUCGAGUGGCGAACGGGUGAGUAACACGUGGGUGAUCUGCCCUGCACUUCGGGAUAAGCCUGGGAAACUGGGUCUAAUACCGGAUAGGACGAUGGUUUGGAUGCCAUUGUGGAAAGUUUUUCGGUGUGGGAUGAGCUCGCGGCCUAUCAGCUUGUUGGUGGGGUAAUGGCCUACCAAGGCGUCGACGGGUAGCCGGCCUGAGAGGGUGUACGGCCACAUUGGGACUGAGGUACGGCCCAGAAUCCCAAGGGAGGCAGCAGGGGGGAAUAUUGCACAAUGGGGGCAAGCCUGAUGCAGCGACGCCGCGUGGGGGAUGACGGCCUUCGGGUUGUAAACUCCUUUCGCUAGGGGCGAAGCGUUUUGUGACGGUACCUGGAGAAGAAGCACCGGCUAACUACGUG